RNAcentral lists this ribosomal RNA (489 nucleotides) under uncultured Sphingobacteriales bacterium. RNAcentral describes it as "bacterial SSU rRNA". It matches the Rfam family "Bacterial small subunit ribosomal RNA", at positions 888 to 1382 of the family's 1533-position model. The record is from RNAcentral. Lineage: Bacteria; Pseudomonadati; Bacteroidota; Sphingobacteriia; Sphingobacteriales.
CCCGCUCAGAAACUCAAAGGAAUUGACGGGGCCCGCACAAGCGGUGGAGCAUGUGGUUAAUUCGAUGAUACGCGAGGAACCUUACCUGGGCUCAAAUGUAUGUUGACGUAUUCUGAAAGGGAUACUUCUUCGGACAAUAUACAAGGUGCUGCAUGGUUGUCGUCAGCUCGUGCCGUGAGGUGUCGGGUUAAGUCCCAUAACGAGCGCAACCCUAUCAUUAGUUGCCAUCAGGUCAAGCUGGGGACUCUAAUGAAACUGCCUACGCAAGUAGUGAGGAAGGUGGGGAUGACGUCAAAUCAGCACGGCCCUUACGUCCAGGGCUACACACGUGCUACAAUGGCCGGUACAAAGGGCAGCUACCUGGUGACAGGAUGCUAAUCUCAAAAGCCGGUCUCAGUUCGGAUCGGAGUCUGCAACCCGACUCCGUGAAACUGGAAUCGCUAGUAAUCGCGCAUCAGCCAUGGCGCGGUGAAUACGUUCCCGGGCCUU